UACGGGGAGGGCGAGUGUUAUUCAGCGUAAUUGGGCGUAAAGGGCAUCUAGGCGGUUUAAUAAGUUCAAACUAAAAAUCUACAGCUUAACUGUAUGAACGUGUUUGAAUACUGUUGGACUUCGAGUAUAGGGGAAGAUAGCGGUACUUUUAAAGUAAAGGUAAAAUUUUUAAAUAAUAAAGGGACCACCAACAGGCGAUAGCGGCUGUCUAUCCUAUUACUGACGCUGACGUGCAAAAGCGUGGGGAGCAAACAGG
This 256-nucleotide ribosomal RNA is filed under the name uncultured bacterium. RNAcentral's name for it is "partial 16S ribosomal RNA". It matches the Rfam family "Bacterial small subunit ribosomal RNA", at positions 524 to 776 of the family's 1533-position model. The record is from RNAcentral.